This 1065-nucleotide long non-coding RNA is filed under the name Homo sapiens (human). RNAcentral's name for it is "long intergenic non-protein coding RNA 1890". The record is from RNAcentral. Lineage: Eukaryota; Metazoa; Chordata; Mammalia; Primates; Hominidae.
AGUCUGCGUCAGAGGCCUAGAGGCUCUCACUAUGGCAUGGACCCUCAUCCUCGAGCCCCACUACUCAGAGGAGCUGGGAAGAAUUUCCACCCUUCCUAGUGGCAAGUCUCACUGUGAGAGCGGAGUGCCACCAGGCAAACAGGGCAGAAAGACUGCUUUAAGGAGAAUCCUUAUAUUGGGGGUUAUGAAGUGCAAUACACCCUCAUCCUCACGCUAACACUGGUACCAUGUAGCCCAAGCUUGUCUAACCUGCAGCCCGCGGGCUGUGUAUGGCCCAGGACAGCUCUGAAUGUGGCCCAACGCAAAUUUGUAAACUUUCUAAAACAUUAUGAGAUUUUUUUUUCUCAUCAGCUAUCAUCAGUGUGAGUGUAUGUUAUUUGUGACUCAAGACAAUCCUUCUUUUCCAAUGUGGCCCAGAGAAGCCAAAAGACUGGACACCCCUGAUGUGGCCCUUUCAUCCAUAGUAGCCUAUUUUGUCCUAAAGACGGUCUUGUGCAGUGAGUAGGCCAGGCCUCCCCACUACCACAGUUUACAGGCAAGGAAUGUGAUAUUUCAUAGGAUGACCCUGACUGGCACCUACAUUGCUAGCCAAAGAAUGGCACAAAGAUGUGGACAGAAGAGACAACCUUAAGCAGCUGACUGCUGGCUCCUGCAACAGUAUCAUCAUGGCAUUUGUCCUGGGGUCCCAAGGAAAGAAAACAAAUCUGUGGCUGAGGAACAGACUGAGUUGACAAAGCAGCUUCCACAGUAACACAAGGACAAAGGGUGUAUGUAGAUAUGCACGUGGUAGCAGGUUCUACUAAAGGAACCUGGACCGACCAUUCUCACUCACAUUCUUUGGGAGCUGUAUUCUAAUACUUUCAGAAAAGCCAUGGGAACACACCAGAGUGACUGCUCGAGUAAAUAAGUAGCAUAAACAGCAAGCCAAACCAUUGAUGUACACAUCACUGGGCCCAAUACUAUGAAAUCCCACAUAAGAAACUUGAAAGUGAAAGCUGGAAUUCUGAGGAUACUGGUUUUGCUUAAUAAACAGCAUUUCAACAGGUGAGUCAACUUAGUAUUGCA